RNAcentral lists this ribosomal RNA (253 nucleotides) under uncultured bacterium. RNAcentral's name for it is "partial 16S ribosomal RNA". It matches the Rfam family "Bacterial small subunit ribosomal RNA", at positions 524 to 776 of the family's 1533-position model. The record is from RNAcentral.
UACGUAGGUGGCAAGCGUUGUCCGGAUUUACUGGGCGUAAAGAGCGCGCAGGCGGUCGAAUAAGUCGAAUGUGAAAGCCCCCGGCUUAACUGGGGAGGGUCAUUCGAUACUGCUCGACUUGAAGGCAGGAGAGGGAAGUGGAAUUCCCGGUGUAGUGGUGAAAUGCGUAGAUAUCAGGAGGAACACCUGUGGUGUAGACAGCUUACUGGACCACUUCUGACGCUGAGACACGAAAGCGUGGGUAGCAAACAGG